RNAcentral lists this ribosomal RNA (253 nucleotides) under uncultured bacterium. Its description in RNAcentral is "partial 16S ribosomal RNA". It matches the Rfam family "Bacterial small subunit ribosomal RNA", at positions 524 to 776 of the family's 1533-position model. The record is from RNAcentral.
CACGUAGGUGGCAAGCGUUGUCCGGAUUUAUUGGGUUUAAAGGGUGCGUAGGCGGUCCUAUAAGUCAGUGCUGAAAUAUCCCGGCUUAACCGGGAGGGUGGCAUUGAUACUGCAGGACUUGAGUAAAGUUGAGGUUGGCGGAAUUGACGGUGUAGCGGUGAAAUGCUUAGAUAUCGUCAAGAACACCUAUUGCAAAGGCAGCUAACUAAGCUUUAACUGACGCUGAGGCACGAAAGUGUGGGGAUCAAACAGG